CCUGUACCGCUUAAAGUCGCUAUUAGAGAUGUGAUGACGCAAGAGGAUAAGCUAAGCUAGCUGAUGGAUGCUAGUCUAAGAGUCAAGGCCAGUGUGUAGGCAAAUCCGCACACUAUUAAGGCUGAGGCUUGAUAGGUAUCGAAAACAUAAGUAGAGAAGUAGCCGAUUUCAAAUUGCCAAGAAAAGUCACUAUCGAGACCAAAGCGCCCGUACCCGAAACCGACACAGGUAGGGAGGUAGAGAAUACCAAGACGCGCGGAAGAACCUUUGUUAAGGAACUCGGCAAAAUGUCCCCGUAACUUCGGGAGAAGGGGAGCCAUAGCGAUAUGGCCACAGAAACCAGGCCCAAGCGACUGUUUACCAAAAACACAAGUUUCUGCAAAAUCGUAAGAUGAAGUAUAGGAGCUGACACCUGCCCGGUGCUGGAAGGUUAAGGAGACGGCUUAGCGCAAGCGAAGGCUCGAACUUAAGCCCCAGUAAACGGCGGCCGUAACGAUAACGGUCCUAAGGUAGCGAAAUUCCUUGUCGGGUAAGUUCCGACCCGCACGAAAGGUGUAACGAUUUGGGCACUGUCUCAACAAAGGAUCCGGUGAAAUUGUAGUAGUCGUGAAGAUGCGACUUACCCACGCUAGGACGAAAGACCCCGUGGAGCUUUACUGUAGGCUGAUAUUGGACUUUGAGAUUAGAUAUACAGGAUAGUUGGGAGACUAUGAAGCAUGUACGCCAGUAUGUGCAGAGUCACCCUUGGGAUACCAACUUUCUAAUAUUAAAGUUCUAACAUUGACCCUUGAAUCAGGGCAAUGGACAUUGUCAGUUGGGCAGUUUGACUGGGGCGGUCGCCUCCCAAAAAGUAACGGAGGCGUUCAAAGGUUCGCUCAGAAUGGACGGAAACCAUUCGUAGAGUACAAAGGCAAAAGCGAGCUUAACUGCAAAACCUACAAGUUGCGCAGAGUAGAAAUACGGACUUAGUGAUCCGGUGGCACCGCAUGGAAGGGCCAUCGCUCAACGGAUAAAAGCUACCCCGGGGAUAACAGGCUUAUCUCCCCCAAGAGUCCACAUCGACGGGGAGGUUUGGCACCUCGAUGUCGGCUCGUCUCAUCCUGGGGCUGAAGUAGGUCCCAAGGGUUGGGCUGUUCGCCCAUUAAAGAGGCACGCGAGCUGGGUUCGGAACGUCGUGAGACAGUUCGGUCCCUAUCCAGCGUGGGCGUAAGAAAUUUGAGAGGAUCUGUCCCUAGUACGAGAGGACCGGGAUGGACACACCUAUGGUGUACCAGUUGUAAAGCCAUUUGCAUAGCUGGGUAGCUACGUGUGGAAACGAUAAGUACUGAAAGCAUCUAAGUACGAAACAGACCUCAAGAUAAGAUUUCUCAGAGUACGUAAAGAAAAUACGUUUGAUAGGUCCAAGGUGUAAGUGCAGUAAUGUAUUAAGCUAAUGGAUACUAAACUUUACAUCUUGACUGG
RNAcentral lists this ribosomal RNA (1461 nucleotides) under metagenome. RNAcentral's name for it is "bacterial LSU rRNA". It matches the Rfam family "Bacterial large subunit ribosomal RNA", at positions 1438 to 2925 of the family's 2925-position model. The record is from RNAcentral.